This 504-nucleotide ribosomal RNA is filed under the name uncultured bacterium. RNAcentral describes it as "bacterial SSU rRNA". It matches the Rfam family "Bacterial small subunit ribosomal RNA", at positions 8 to 507 of the family's 1533-position model. The record is from RNAcentral.
AGAGUUUGAUCCUGGCUCAGAUUGAACGCUAGCGGCAGGCUUAAUACAUGCAAGUCGAGGGGCAGCACGGUUAGCAAUAACUGGUGGCGACCGGCGCACGGGUGCGUAACACGUAUACAAUCUACCUUAAACAGGGGGAUAGCCUUUCGAAAGAGAGAUUAAUACCCCGUAAUAAAUUGAACGGCAUCGUUUGAUUUUGAAAGCUCCGGCGGUUUGAGAUGAGUAUGCGUCUGAUUAGCUAGUUGGUGAGGUAACGGCUCACCAAGGCGACGAUCAGUAGGGGACCUGAGAGGACUAACCCCCCACACUGGUACUGAGACACGGACCAGACUCCUACGGGAGGCAGCAGUAAGGAAUAUUGGUCAAUGGAGGCAACUCUGAACCAGCCAUGCCGCGUGCAGGAUGACGGCCCUAUGGGUUGUAAACUGCUUUUAUACAAGAGAAAACCCUGGUACGUGUACCAAGUUGAUAGUAUUGUAAGAAUAAGCAUCGGCUAACUUCGUG